AUUGAACGCUGGCGGCAGGCCUAACACAUGCAAGUCGAGCGGAUGAAGGGAGCUUGCUCCUGGAUUCAGCGGCGGACGGGUGAGUAAUGCCUAGGAAUCUGCCUGGUAGUGGGGGAUAACGUCCGGAAGCGGGCGCUAAUACCGCAUACGUCCUGAGGGAGAAAGUGGGGGAUCUUCGGACCUCACGCUAUCAGAUGAGCCUAGGUCGGAUUAGCUAGUUGGUGGGGUAAAGGCCUACCAAGGCGACGAUCCGUAACUGGUCUGAGAGGAUGAUCAGUCACACUGGAACUGAGACACGGUCCAGACUCCUACGGGAGGCAGCAGUGGGGAAUAUUGGACAAUGGGCGAAAGCCUGAUCCAGCCAUGCCGCGUGUGUGAAGAAGGUCUUCGGAUUGUAAAGCACUUUAAGUUGGGAGGAAGGGCAGUAAGUUAAUACCUUGCCGUUUUGACGUUACCAACAGAAUAAGCACCGGCUAACUUCGUG
Molecule: ribosomal RNA, 484 nt
Filed under: uncultured bacterium
Lineage: Bacteria
Description: partial 16S ribosomal RNA
Rfam family: Bacterial small subunit ribosomal RNA
Source: RNAcentral